This 95-nucleotide small RNA is filed under the name Klebsiella pneumoniae. RNAcentral's name for it is "partial RtT sRNA". It matches the Rfam family "RtT RNA", at positions 1 to 92 of the family's 130-position model. From Rfam's summary of the family: This family represents a bacterial cis-regulatory element known as RtT RNA. The exact function of RtT is unknown although it is thought that it may be involved in changing the cellular response in relation to amino acid starvation. The record is from RNAcentral. Lineage: Bacteria; Pseudomonadati; Pseudomonadota; Gammaproteobacteria; Enterobacterales; Enterobacteriaceae.
UGCAUCUGAGGCCAGUGAGGAUGAGAACCUCCGGGGGCAGGAGGUUCGACUCGAGCGAAGCGAGAGAACGUUGCGUCAGCAACGGCCCGCAGGGC